CUGAGCCUUCUGCUCCUCUCCCCCCUCUCCGGGAGGCGACAUCUCCGCGGGCUUCACCUCUGCAAGGGAGGAAACCCAAAGAGAAAGAUCAGGCCGUCGACUUGAAGAAGCGGGCAAUGGCUGCAUCCGUGACGUCAUAGGCAUCGUGGCUGCUCUGCGGCUGACGCUCCAUGUCCCGACUGCUGUCGAGGAGGCUGUGAGCUUCAGCAGAGGCUGCUCCGGAUCUCCUGAGACCCCCGGCUCACGACUCAAGGCUAGAGCGGUGGCCCACGAUCUGGCACGUUAAGGCUCCUCUGGAGGCUGGUCCGGUUUCAGAGAUUCUGGUUUGGUUUAGGAGUAGAAGGGCCAAGUGUCGG
Molecule: long non-coding RNA, 356 nt
Organism: Orcinus orca (killer whale)
Lineage: Eukaryota; Metazoa; Chordata; Mammalia; Artiodactyla; Delphinidae
Exons: 3
Source: RefSeq, a predicted model, not a curated record